RNAcentral lists this transfer RNA (73 nucleotides) under Spirochaetes bacterium GWB1_59_5. Its description in RNAcentral is "tRNA-Pro". It matches the Rfam family "tRNA". From Rfam's summary of the family: Transfer RNA (tRNA) molecules are approximately 80 nucleotides in length. Their secondary structure includes four short double-helical elements and three loops (D, anti-codon, and T loops). The record is from RNAcentral. Lineage: Bacteria; Pseudomonadati; Spirochaetota.
CGGAGUGUGGCGCAGUUGGUAGCGCGCUGCGUUUGGGGCGCAGAGGUCUCCAGUUCAAAUCUGGAUACUCCGA